Molecule: ribosomal RNA, 557 nt
Filed under: uncultured bacterium
Lineage: Bacteria
Description: partial 16S ribosomal RNA
Rfam family: Bacterial small subunit ribosomal RNA
Source: RNAcentral
UGGGAAUUUGGACGAAUUGGGCGAAAGCCUGAUCCAGCAAUGCCGCGUGAGGGAUGACGGCCUUCGGGUUGUAAACCUCUUUCAGCAGGGAAGAAGCGAAAGUGACGGUACCUGCAGAAGAAGCGCCGGCUAACUACGUGCCAGCAGCCGCGGUAAUACGUAGGGCGCAAGCGUUGUCCGGAAUUAUUGGGCGUAAAGAGCUCGUAGGCGGUUAGUCGCGUCUGCUGUGAAAACUCGAGGCUCAACCUCGGGCUUGCAGUGGGUACGGGCUGACUAGAGUGCGGUAGGGGUGACUGGAAUUCCUGGUGUAGCGGUGGAAUGCGCAGAUAUCAGGAGGAACACCGAUGGCGAAGGCAGGUCACUGGGCCGCAACUGACGCUGAGGAGCGAAAGCAUGGGGAGCGAACAGGAUUAGAUACCCUGGUAGUCCAUGCCGUAAACGUUGGGCACUAGGUGUGGGGUCCAUUCCACGGAUUCCCGUGCCGCAGCAAACGCAUUAAGUGCCCCGCCUGGGGAGUCGGCCGCAAGGCUAAAACUCAAAUGAAUUGACGGGGUCAU